UCUCCGUAGGUGAACCUGCGGAGGGAUCAUUACAGGGUUCGUGCCCUCGCGGGUAGAUCUCCCACCCUGUUUUAUUGCUACCUUUGUUGCUUUGGCGGGCCGCCCUCGGCUACCGGCCCCGGCUGGUACGCGCCCGCCAGAGGACUCCAAACCCUGAACGUCAGUGUCGUCUGAGUACUAUACAAUAGUUAAAACUUUCAACAACGGAUCUCUUGGUUCUG
Molecule: unclassified non-coding RNA, 221 nt
Filed under: plant metagenome
Description: partial contains small subunit ribosomal RNA, internal transcribed spacer 1, and 5.8S ribosomal RNA
Source: RNAcentral